Molecule: long non-coding RNA, 3400 nt
Organism: Gambusia affinis (western mosquitofish)
Lineage: Eukaryota; Metazoa; Chordata; Actinopteri; Cyprinodontiformes; Poeciliidae
Exons: 3
Source: RefSeq, a predicted model, not a curated record
AGACGGGGUCAGCUACACACACCUGGAGUCAAGAUAUGCUGAUGUCAGCAUGAUGGAUUCAGAGAUGCCUGUCCAAGCUCCCACAGUUAGCGGAGCUAACAGCUACGGCUAACUGGGAGGAGCCCAGAACACACAGGAACUACGGUCAACAUCCGCCUCCAGGCAGGACUGAACCAGCAACGCAACGGCGCCAGCAACUAUCACCAAGUUGCCUUGUGCACAAAAUGCAUGAUACAGGAACCAACCUGCAGGGGGCGCAACUGAGGGAAAAGAGAAAACUGCUGCACAACUAUAUUAGAUAAAGAUUUAAUCUUGACAGGAAUUCUUUAAGAAACAUAUUCCAGGCAUAAAGAUCAGAGUUCUGAAAUAUUUAGACCAGCUUACAGGCAGCUGGGUCGUUGAUUCUCAUCUCCCUUCUCUUCCCCUUGUGGGAUUUCUCCCAUUGAGAUCAAUUUCUCCAGUAGAAUUUCACUGAGCCAAUCAGUGACCAGACGUUGUGAACGAUGAUGUAAAGUUUCUGCGCUGUUUUAGAAUUUCAGCAGCAGAGGAAAUGAAGUCCAAACAUUGAGGAUUUGAAGUCGGAGCAACAGGAACGUUUAAGAUGUUUAUUGCUAGCAAAGAUGUUUGACUCGGCUCUUCUGCCUCUGUAGUGGAAGGACGGUUGUUGACAGAACAGGCAACUUCCAGUUAGCUUCCUAGCGGUGAAGCUAGCUGCAAAACGUCACAGCCAAACUGUAGCGCUUGAGUCAAAUCAGAUUCAGUCGUUUAAAAAUUUAACGAUGGCAUUUGACUUAAUGUCUCCUUCUGGAGGCCUUAAAAUUUUAAUUGAUUAUGUUUCCAUAGCAACUGGUUUCAGUCUGCAUUACAGGAACUCAGGGUUUCAGCUGGUUUUCAGUUUUCUGGAAGUUUGUUCCAGAUCUGUGGUGCAUAGAAGCUGAAUGCUGCUUCUCCAUGUUUGGUUCUGGUUCUGAUGCAGAACAGAACCAGAACCAGCAGGUUGAUCCAGCAGCAGAUUUUAAUCUCUUAAUGAUUUAUAAACUACCAGCAGUUUAAAGUCUCAGUGAAGGAAUGUAGAACUGGAUGGUGUAGAACUAGGUGGUGUAGAACUAGGUGAUGUAGAACUAGAACUAGGUGAUGUAGAACUAGGUGGUGUAGAACUAGGUGGUGUAGAACUAGGUGGUGUAGGUACUGGUUCCGGCCCGCUCCGUUAACAGAACCUGAGUUAACAUCUGCAAGAACCAGAAACAUUUACUCCAACAUGUUAACACUGUUAUGGCCAAUAAUCAAUAUUCACUAACUGUAAGUCAUUCAAUUGUCAUUGUUGGCAGGAACUAAUGGCUUACGUAAACACAGGGUCAAAGGUCAAACCUCCAGGUGUUAUUAGGGACUUUGCUCUUCUGUUUAUCACAGCUAGUGGACUGUUUAUCAGGAACGAGCAGCAGAGAUCCGAACUGGGCCUGAAACCGCUGAUGAUGAUGAUGAUGAUGAUGAAGAAGCUGGAAGCUGAACUGGUUUCUACAGAGUCAGACUGGGAGGAACAAUUGAAAUGUUUGGGAGUAGAAACAUCUCAGCCGCCGGUUUCCAUCCAGAACUCUCCAGAACUUUCCACUUUCCUCUGAACCAUUAAAACGCUCACAGAUGAAGCGAUAAACCGGAUCCGUCUUUUCUUCAGUUCUGGUUCUGCUGCAGCCGGAGGACAAACAGGAUGGAAGAACUCUGAGGCUGCAGAUUCAGAACAGCAGCGACUGCUUCCCUUCAACACGACUCCUAAAGACGAUUAGAGCUCCGAUUCUGGAGGCGACAUGGAGGAACCCAUCUGUAGGUGAAAGUUUAUUUCAGGGCGGCGUGCGCCAGCUCAAACCAAACACAGCGCUGAGAGCAGCUCCAUAUUUGGAGCUGAGCAGCUGUUGUGUUGCAACAUCACAAACCAUCAGGCUGCAGCCCGGACGCCUCCGAGACGCUGGAAUGACGGCAGAUCAGAGAUAAGCAGGAGGCGGGUUCUGCACCAGGGGGGCAACAAGGGGGGGGGGCAACAAGGGGGGGGGGCAACAAGGGAGGGGGCAACAAGGGGGGGGCAACAAGGCUCAGAUUCUUUACAGCAGACAGACGUUCUGCAGUCGUCCACGUCUGAUUAUUAGUCUCCUGUUUGGGCCAGGAAGCAUCAGGAGAACCAGCCCGUCUGCUGGCCCACUUCCUGGUGCCGGUCAGGUUCUGGAGUCAGAUCAGAGACGUUGUGACGUCGGUUUAAAUUCUUCAGAACCGAGAUUUCCACAGCAAACAGAUGUUUUAAUGCAUCAGAAAAACAGAGAGUGACUGAGAGUCACUGCGCGCAAAACAAACCCUGUAAAUUCUCGACACUAACAGGAACCAUAGAAUUACACAGAAACCUGUGAGAGGAGAACGGAGCUGGAAGGAUGUUUACUGGUUCUGAACUGAUCCUGAGUGGGAAUGAAAACAGCAGCAGCUCUAGACCCAACGCCCGGAUCCACUGAGCAGCAGGCGGUUUGGUCAGUCGAAACCAGGACCCAGAGUUCUGAUGGUUCUGCCAGCCAACCGGACUCCAUGCGCUCCGUUUGAAUCCACACUGCGCCUCGUCCAGCUCCUUCCACAGAGUUACCAGAAAGUCCUCAUAUUCCCUCACUGAUGUAUCAGGAAAGAUUCAAUAUUUCAUAAUCCCGUUUGUCAGACGCUCUUCAAAAUUUGUCUCCAUUUGAUGUUGGACUCGGAGCCGCAGCUCAACAGCAUCAGAACGUUUUGAUGGAACCGAACAGCUUCCUGUGUGACGCUUAAAACCCGCCGUAAACAGACAGAAACCUCGACCAGCCACGCACCGCCGCCAUGACGCGCCGCCGCCGCCAUGACGCGCCGCCGCCGCCAUGACGCACCGCCGCCAUGACGCGCCACCGCCGCCAUGACGCACCGCCGCCGCCAUGACGCGCCGCCGCCGCCAUGACGCACCGCUGUGCUGCAGCCGUCGAGCUGCAGGUUCCUGUGGGAUCAGGAAUUCCCUCGUUCAGAGUCCAGCCAACAUCUGAUCACUUCAAGUGGAGAAAUGCUCCCCGAUUUCAAAACUUUAGCUGAUGCUGCUUGUAGUUCCUGUUUGUAGUUUGGCGCUGAACCUCCUGACUCUAAUCUCUGCAGCCGAGACCUUUAAUGUGAUUAAUUAUACGUAACUCCUGUGGUUCUAUGAAUACAUGAUGGUGAAUGUGUGAUGUGGAUUCUCUGUUCAGCUUGUUUAUUAUUUUCUUUAAAAAUGAAUAAACAUAGAUAUAACUGAAGAUGUCAUUAUUAUUUUGCAUGAAAAUUGUUUAUGACCCCUGUCUUUCUUUUCUUUGGUGCUGAUUGGUUGAACCUCCAUAAAAACAGACAAUGAAAACUGGAGAUGCUGGUUUCUGUGGUU